UUUGCAGAGAGUCACAGAUUUUGUGACAGAGUUCAGGAUGCAUAUACGCUGCGCUGUUGCCCUCAGGUUCACGGUGUGGCAAAUGACACAAUAGCUUUUGUAAAGGACAUAAUCACGACUGAAAUUAACAGUGCAACAGACAAUCCUAUGGUUUUUGCUGAAAGGGGAGAGACCAUUUCUGGAGGAAAUUUUCAUGGUGAAUACCCUGCAAAGGCUCUGGACUACCUGGCAAUUGGUGUCCAUGAACUUGCUGCAAUUAGUGAAAGAAGGAUUGAAAGACUAUGCAACCCAUCUCUCAGUGAGCUGCCUGCAUUUCUAGUCACCGAAGGGGGUCUGAAUUCUGGUUUCAUGAUUGCGCACUGCACAGCAGCGGCCCUAGGUGAGUACACGAAGACCUAAGCAAGACUGGCAAGAGAACAAAAUUAGAAAGAUCAACCUAUGUUAGCACUGUGAUAGUUUGAUAGUACUGAUAAAGGAAACCCCAGAAAAAAUAGCUCUCAGCUCCAGCUGUAAAUUCUUCUUUUCUCCCCAUGUCCAGCUGAGUUAUCUGAUAUAGUUUGCAGCCAAGUCUCCCAGGGCCACCCAGAGGAUUCAGGGGCCCUGGGGUCUUCGGCGGCGGGUCCCGAGGCGGAAGGACCCCCCGCCACGGGUCUUCGGGGCAUUUCAGUGGCCUGGGGCAAAUUGCCCCACUUGCCCCCCCCCCUCUGGGCAGCCCUGCCAUCUCCCCUUCAGAGGCCCUGAACCUGCAAAGAUUUAUGUAUGUGUUUAGCUCUAAACCUGUGAGCAGUCCAGCUAGGGUUGCUAACAGUCCCUUAUUAUAAGGGACGUCCCUUAUUUUUUCAUCUCUGUACAACAAGAUCAGGCAUUGCUGAGUGCUGCAAAAAGCAGCAAGAAAUGCCCCAUGUGAAUUUAGGUGAGUAAUGUUCAUUUAUUGUAUUUAUUUAUUAACGAUAAUAAUGAUAAUAUUGGGGAGUGGGGUGAGUCGGGGGUGCUAAGAAAACAAUCCCUUAUUUUUGAAAUACAAUGUUGGCAACAGUAGCAUUACUCAAGUGCUUAAAUCUUUGUAGGACUGGAGUCUGAGUUUCGGAAUGGUUAAGCGCCACAGUCCCACUUGAAAUCAGUAGGAGCUAGAAGUACCCAGCACCUCUGAAAAUCAGGCCCUAAAAGCACAACAAAGCUAAAAAGCAAAUUAUCUAUGUACAAACAAUUCUAUUUUUGAUUCUACACAAAACGUAUCAUUUCUAUCUGUAGCCCUCCACUUCUGGGACAUCCCAAUCCCCAAGGGUGGUGUGGAGCCCCUUAAUCUUUCCUUCUCAGGGACACAGCAAUAGGCCCUGGGUGCUUAGCGCAUGGUGUCUCCAGCUAGUGGUUGGGUGCAUAAACCAGUAACAAGCCCUAUGAGCCCCAGGCUAUUACAAUUC
Molecule: non-coding RNA, 1421 nt
Organism: Chrysemys picta bellii (western painted turtle)
Lineage: Eukaryota; Metazoa; Chordata; Testudines; Emydidae
Source: RefSeq, a predicted model, not a curated record